Molecule: small nucleolar RNA, 252 nt
Filed under: Amphimedon queenslandica
Lineage: Eukaryota; Metazoa; Porifera; Demospongiae; Haplosclerida; Niphatidae
Description: Small nucleolar RNA SNORA73 family
Rfam family: Small nucleolar RNA SNORA73 family
About the family: U17 (SNORA73A and SNORA73B) also known as E1 belongs to the H/ACA class of small nucleolar RNAs (snoRNAs).
Source: Rfam by way of RNAcentral
UCAACGUGGAUAAUCUCAAUGGAUUGACACCCAUUGAGCUCUGUCCAAGUGGUUUGGAGCCAACUGAUGAUCCUUUCUCUCUCUUGAGAUUAAAGGGUUGUCAUUAUGAGGUGCAGUCCCUCCACAACGUUGUAUAUAAACUACUGCCGCUGUCUUACCUAAGAUAAGCUGAGCAGGCAAUGGCAUAUUCCUGUUCCUUCCAUAGCUCCUAGUGGGCAUUAAUUGGAGAGAGAAACCAUGCUAGUGACACUA